Molecule: small nuclear RNA, 107 nt
Organism: Piliocolobus tephrosceles (Ugandan red Colobus)
Lineage: Eukaryota; Metazoa; Chordata; Mammalia; Primates; Cercopithecidae
Source: Ensembl
GUGCUCACUUCAGCAGCACAUAUACUAAAAUUGGAACAAUACGGAAAAGAUUAGCAUGGCCCCUGUGCAAGGAUGACAUGCAAAUUCAUGAAGCAUUUCAUAUUAAA